Molecule: ribosomal RNA, 529 nt
Filed under: Heterostichus rostratus (giant kelpfish)
Lineage: Eukaryota; Metazoa; Chordata; Actinopteri; Blenniiformes; Clinidae
Description: partial 16S ribosomal RNA
Rfam family: Bacterial large subunit ribosomal RNA
Source: RNAcentral
UUUGACCGUGCAAAGGUAGCGCAAUCACUUGUCUUUUAAAUGAAGACCUGUAUGAAUGGCACGACGAGGGCUUAACUGUCUCCCCUUUUUAGUCAAUGAAAUUGAUUUCCCCGUGCAGAAGCGGGGAUAAAAGCAUAAGACGAGAAGACCCUGUGGAGCUUUAGACGCCAAGGUACACCGUGUCAAGCAACCUCAAUUAAUAGCUAGAACUAAUCGGAACCUAUCUUAUUGUCUUUGGUUGGGGCGACCGCGGGGUAAUAUUUAACCCCCACGUAGAAAGGGGGGACUUCUCCCCCACAAGUAAGAGCCGCAGCUCUAUCUACCAGCACAGCUGACUAAAAAUGAUCCGGUAUUACCGAUCAACGGACCGAGUUACCCCAGGGAUAACAGCGCAAUCCUCUUUAAGAGCCCAUAUCGACAAGGGGGUUUACGACCUCGAUGUUGGAUCAGGACAUCCUAAUGGUGCAGCCGCUAUUAAGGGUUCGUUUGUUCAACGAUUAAAGUCCUACGUGAUCUGAGUUCAGACCGG